GACGAACGCUGGCGGCGUGCUUAACACAUGCAAGUCGAACGAUGAACCGGAGCUUGCUCCGGGGAUUAGUGGCGAACGGGUGAGUAACACGUGGGCAACCUGCCCCAGACACCGGGAUAACCUUCCGAAAGGAUGGCUAAUACCGGAUAUGACCACUUCGGGCAUCCGACGGUGGUGGAAAGGAUUCUGGUCUGGGAUGGGCCCGCGGCCUAUCAGCUUGUUGGUGGGGUAAUGGCCUACCAAGGCGACGACGGGUAGCCGGCCUGAGAGGGCGACCGGCCACACUGGGACUGAGACACGGCCCAGACUCCUACGGGAGGCAGCAGUGGGGAAUAUUGCGCAAUGGGCGAAAGCCUGACGCAGCGACGCCGCGUGAGGGACGAAGGUCUUCGGAUUGUAAACCUCUUUCAGCAGGGACGAAGCGAAAGUGACUGUACCUGCAGAAGAAGCACCGGCUAACUACGUG
Molecule: ribosomal RNA, 466 nt
Filed under: uncultured bacterium
Lineage: Bacteria
Description: bacterial SSU rRNA
Rfam family: Bacterial small subunit ribosomal RNA
Source: RNAcentral